Physella acuta is the source of this 223-nucleotide long non-coding RNA. RefSeq lists it as uncharacterized. NCBI's taxonomy places the organism in Eukaryota, Metazoa, Mollusca, Gastropoda, Physidae. The record is from RefSeq and is a predicted model, not a curated record.
CACCUGUUGAUGCAAAAGCAAGUAAAGCGUUUUGUUUUUGAAGAAAACUGUCCGCCAAAGUUACAGGUCAAAAUGAUGCGUUUCCUAUUACUAUCGAUUUUCUUGCUGCAGUGUGUCACCGAAUUUUCUACCGCGACAAGUCUAGUACCAAGAAACAAAAGAAGUCUCAUCGGCCUAGGUUAUAUUUUGCAAGCCUACACUGGAAGAGCUGCUGAAUAUAUGU